GAACGGUAACAGGCCUUCGGGCGCUGACGAGUGGCGGACGGGUGAGGAAUGCGUAGGAAUCUACCCAGUAGCGGGGGACAACUUAGGGAAACUUAAGCUAAUACCGCAUACGCCCUACGGGGGAAAGCAGGGGAUCUUCGGACCUUGCACUAUUGGAUGAGCCUACGUCGGAUUAGCUAGUUGGUAGGGUAAAAGCCUACCAAGGCGACGAUCCGUAGCUGGUCUGAGAGGACGAUCAGCCACACUGGGACUGAGACACGGCCCAGACUCCUACGGGAGGCAGCAGUGGGGAAUAUUGGACAAUGGGGGCAACCCUGAUCCAGCAAUGCCGCGUGUGUGAAGAAGGCCUGCGGGUUGUAAAGCACUUUCGGUAGGGACGAAAAGCUGAGGGCUAAUAUCCUUCAGUCU
RNAcentral lists this ribosomal RNA (408 nucleotides) under uncultured bacterium. RNAcentral's name for it is "bacterial SSU rRNA". It matches the Rfam family "Bacterial small subunit ribosomal RNA", at positions 64 to 470 of the family's 1533-position model. The record is from RNAcentral.